CCUACGGGUGGCAGCAGUGGGGAAUAUUGCACAAUGGGGGAAACCCUGAUGCAGCGACGCCGCGUGAGUGAAGAAGUAAUUCGUUAUGUAAAGCUCUAUCAGCAGGGAAGAAAAUGACGGUACCUGAGUAAGAAGCCCCGGCUAACUACGUGCCAGCAGCCGCGGUAAUACGGAGGGUGCAAGCGUUAUCCGGAUUUACUGGGUGUAAAGGGGGCGUAGACGGCGAUGCAAGUCUGAAGUGAAAGGCGGGGGCCCAACCCCCGGACUGCUUUGGAAACUGUAUGGCUGGAGUGCAGGAGAGGUAAGUGGAAUUCCUGGUGUAGCGGUGAAAUGCGUAGAUAUUAGGAGGAACACCAGUGGCGAAGGCGGCUUACUGGACUGUAACUGACGUUGAGGCUCGAAAGCGUGGGGAGCAAACAGGAUUAGAUACCCGGGUAGUC
Molecule: ribosomal RNA, 440 nt
Filed under: uncultured bacterium
Lineage: Bacteria
Description: partial 16S ribosomal RNA
Rfam family: Bacterial small subunit ribosomal RNA
Source: RNAcentral